UCUUGCCUUGCCUUAGGAAUAAUUUCGUUUUUCAAAAGUUGGAAAACCAACAGAGUUGCUGCUACUGAGUCUCAUCACCAAGAAGGAAUUAGGAGCUGAAGAAGAAAUGAUGGGAACCUUGGGAGGAGGGAGCUGCUUCAUUUUUGAGAUUGUGAUACAGAUGGAAGAGGACUUGAGUCUGACACGCAGCCUAGAUUUCAAAGGAAAUUAUUUCAAAGGGUUCAGAGAUAGCUCUAAUAUUUUAAGAUUCUUGUGGACCAGCACCUCCGAUGUGAAGGCUUGCUAAGCCCUUUUCAGGGCUGUUCAUCCACUUUUCGUAUCCACCUGGCACUCAACUCUCACCUGUGACUCCAAGAAGCUGUAGCAUGUGCAGCGGCCACACCUUGAUAAACUGUCUCAGGUACUAAAUGAUCUAUGAAGUCUCUGGGAUUCCAUGAUAAGGCAAAGAAACCAUUUGUCCACUGUGAUGACAUACCCAAACAUCGGAACCAUUCCUGGCCUAUACCUAUGGAAUUCAGGCUGAUCCAAAGUGGCCAGAGGAAGUACGAGGUACACACCAGGAUCGACUACAGUAUAGAGAACGGCUAACUGCAAGGAGGUUUCAGAGACAAUCCACCCUUCCAUCCAGGCCAAGUCCACAAGAUAACCCAAGAUUUGCCAUCCUAGAGUGAGCUCUCCAGAGUAUUCCAAUUCGACUCCAUGCCCAAGAACGUGAGAGAUGCAGGAUGGAGGAGAUACUUCUGGAACCAUGCCAGAUGCUUAACAAAGAAGCCUGCUAAGGAUAGAACAAGUACGGACUGAGCCAGGCUAAAUCCCCCUUGGGCGGCUUCUGAUUUCCAGUAUCUGACAUUUAGAUGAAACUUUAUAGUUUAAAAGUACUUUGCAUUUGUGUGUCAUAUGAGCCCUACAACAUGUAAGGGAAUAAAGGGGUUGAGCAGAGGAUAAAGGGUUCCCUAAUCAACAUGCUGAGAUUUCUAGAUGUGCACUUUUGUCUGAAAGCACUUGAGGGAAUCCUCCCCUGGGAAAUAGGCAAGCUCGCUGAAAUUCUGCUGAGAGGACACAGGGACCUCCCUUCAUUGAACUCCCUCACAGGGAACAACUCUGGUGAGUAGAGAGGACUUAAAAAUAAGUGGAGACCGAGAGUCAGGAGUCUCUAAAAAAAGCUUGUUCUUCUAUCCCUUUUUGCCUCCCUUGCUGGAGUAGGUAAUACAAUAAUAGCUAGUAUUUAUAUAAGGCUCUAAAGUUUGCAAA
Long non-coding RNA from Vombatus ursinus (common wombat), 1251 nucleotides. RefSeq lists it as uncharacterized. The transcript has 3 exons. The record is from RefSeq and is a predicted model, not a curated record. NCBI's taxonomy places the organism in Eukaryota, Metazoa, Chordata, Mammalia, Diprotodontia, Vombatidae.